AUUGAACGCUGGCGGCAGGCCUAACACAUGCAAGUCGAGCGGCAGCGGAAAGUAGCUUGCUACUUUGCCGGCGAGCGGCGGACGGGUGAGUAAUGUCUGGGAAACUGCCUGAUGGAGGGGGAUAACUACUGGAAACGGUAGCUAAUACCGCAUAACGUCGCAAGACCAAAGAGGGGGACCUUCGGGCCUCUUGCCAUCAGAUGUGCCCAGAUGGGAUUAGCUAGUAGGUGGGGUAACGGCUCACCUAGGCGACGAUCCCUAGCUGGUCUGAGAGGAUGACCAGCCACACUGGAACUGAGACACGGUCCAGACUCCUACGGGAGGCAGCAGUGGGGAAUAUUGCACAAUGGGCGCAAGCCUGAUGCAGCCAUGCCGCGUGUAUGAAGAAGGCCUUCGGGUUGUAAAGUACUUUCAGCGGGGAGGAAGGUGUUGAGGUUAACAACCUCAGCAAUUGACGUUACCCGCAGAAGAAGCACCGGCUAACUCCGUG
Molecule: ribosomal RNA, 490 nt
Filed under: uncultured bacterium
Lineage: Bacteria
Description: partial 16S ribosomal RNA
Rfam family: Bacterial small subunit ribosomal RNA
Source: RNAcentral